AAGACUAUACUUUCAGGGAUCAUUUCUAUAGUUCGUUACUAGAGAAGUCUCUCUGAAUGUGUAGAGCACUGGAAACCACCAGGAGGCGGCGCAGCGUUCUCUCCUGGGCGUGAAGCCGGCUCUUCAUGUUGCUUGACUGCAAUUGCCAUUUGCCGUUGGUAAUCGUUUUUCUCUCUUUGGAGUAAGAGGGAGAGAACGCAGAUUGA
Molecule: small nucleolar RNA, 206 nt
Organism: Nycticebus coucang (slow loris)
Lineage: Eukaryota; Metazoa; Chordata; Mammalia; Primates; Lorisidae
Product: small nucleolar RNA U3
Exons: 1
Source: RefSeq, a predicted model, not a curated record